This 92-nucleotide transfer RNA is filed under the name Coniochaeta sp. 2T2.1. It matches the Rfam family "tRNA". From Rfam's summary of the family: Transfer RNA (tRNA) molecules are approximately 80 nucleotides in length. Their secondary structure includes four short double-helical elements and three loops (D, anti-codon, and T loops). Further hydrogen bonds mediate the characteristic L-shaped molecular structure. tRNAs have two regions of fundamental functional importance: the anti-codon, which is responsible for specific mRNA codon recognition, and the 3' end, to which the tRNAs corresponding amino acid is attached (by aminoacyl-tRNA synthetases). tRNAs cope with the degeneracy of the genetic code in two manners: having more than one tRNA (with a specific anti-codon) for a particular amino acid; and 'wobble' base-pairing, i.e. permitting non-standard base-pairing at the 3rd anti-codon position. The record is from Rfam by way of RNAcentral. Lineage: Eukaryota; Fungi; Ascomycota; Sordariomycetes; Coniochaetales; Coniochaetaceae.
UCCAGCGUAGUGUAGUGGUUUAGCAUGUCGGGUUUUCAGAUCCUCACGAUCAAGAUUCCCCGGAGACCCGGGUUCAAACCCCGGCGUUGGAA